GAAUGAAGGUAGCAUGGUUAUGUGUACAGAAAUUGAAUUAAUUUUGAGUCAACAUGUCUGCUACCUUUGAUUUCGCUAUGAUUUGGUGGCCUGGUUUAGACUCACAUUC
RNAcentral lists this small nucleolar RNA (109 nucleotides) under Capsicum annuum. RNAcentral's name for it is "Small nucleolar RNA snoR100". It matches the Rfam family "Small nucleolar RNA snoR100". Lineage: Eukaryota; Viridiplantae; Streptophyta; Magnoliopsida; Solanales; Solanaceae. The record is from Rfam by way of RNAcentral.